GCUCGAAUGGUGAAACUGGUAGACACAAGGGACUUAAAAUCCCUCGGCUUCUGCUGUGCGAGUUCAAGCCUCGCUUCGAGUA
This 82-nucleotide transfer RNA is filed under the name Candidatus Tremblayella phenacoccinincola. RNAcentral describes it as "Candidatus Tremblaya phenacola tRNA". It matches the Rfam family "tRNA". Rfam says of the family: Transfer RNA (tRNA) molecules are approximately 80 nucleotides in length. Their secondary structure includes four short double-helical elements and three loops (D, anti-codon, and T loops). Further hydrogen bonds mediate the characteristic L-shaped molecular structure. tRNAs have two regions of fundamental functional importance: the anti-codon, which is responsible for specific mRNA codon recognition, and the 3' end, to which the tRNAs corresponding amino acid is attached (by aminoacyl-tRNA synthetases). tRNAs cope with the degeneracy of the genetic code in two manners: having more than one tRNA (with a specific anti-codon) for a particular amino acid; and 'wobble' base-pairing, i.e. permitting non-standard base-pairing at the 3rd anti-codon position. The record is from Rfam by way of RNAcentral. Lineage: Bacteria; Pseudomonadati; Pseudomonadota; Betaproteobacteria.